Molecule: ribosomal RNA, 387 nt
Filed under: uncultured bacterium
Lineage: Bacteria
Description: bacterial SSU rRNA
Rfam family: Archaeal small subunit ribosomal RNA
Source: RNAcentral
CCGCGAAAACUUUACAAUGCUGGCAACAGCGAUAAGGGAACCUCGAGUGCCAGGUUACAAAUCUGGCUGUCGAGAUGCCUAAAAAGCAUUUCAUAGCAAGGGCCGGGCAAGACCGGUGCCAGCCGCCGCGGUAACACCGGCGGCUCGAGUGGUAACCGUUAUUAUUGGGUCUAAAGGGUCUGUAGCCGGCCGGAUAAGUCUCUUGAGAAAUCUGGCAGCUUAACUGUCAGGCUUUCAAGAGAUACUGUCUGGCUCGAGGCCGGGAGAGGUGAGAGGUACUUCAGGGGUAGGGGUGAAAUCUUGUAAUCCUUGAAGGACCACCAGUGGCGAAGGCGUCUCACCAGAACGGACCUGACGGCAAGGGACGAAAGCUAGGGGCACGAACCG